GUUGGAAUAUCAAAUAUUGAUGCAAUUAACUGUUUGACCCAAGCAAACUUCAGUUAUUACUAGAGCCCAUUUAAAAGUUAUUCACAUCAAAUGGCUUUUUACAUUUCUGCCUGUAAGGCUUCCAUGGGGAAUUAUGUCCAUUAACAAUAUAUUAACACCAGCAGCUGGAAAAGUGGAGGGGGAAGUGACCAAAUAUUGACCAGACUUGCAUAACCAAUAACUUCACACAAUGGUAUUUGUCAUAAAUCCUUAAACCUUGAAAUCUUGAACAGAUUAAUUCUUCUAUACUGUUAUUCGGUUCAACAGACUAAUAUUACUCAUUUUUAGUCUUUUUAAAACCAGUUGCCCAUUGAAUUGCACUUGAUAUCUUUUGUUAAUAAGAAGAAUAAAAGGACUUACCAUAUAACCUCUAUAAGCUGCUUGAAUUUUUGUAGCUGAAGCAUUUUGGUUCCUUAAAGUUGGUUCUGGUCGAGAACGGAGAAUCCUAGGAGGAGGAACUCUUGGAGAAGCAGCUCUAGGAGAGGCAGCUCGUGGAGGUGGAGGUGGAGGUGGAGAAGCAGCUCUAGGGGAAGCAGCUUGAGGAGGUGGAGGUGAUGGUGGAGAAGCAGCUCGUGGAGGUGGAGAAGCAGCUCUAGGGGAAGCAGUUCUUGGAGAAGCAACCCUAGGAGAGGCAAUCCUCUGAGAUGGAACCCGUGGAGAAGCAGCUCUAUGAGGCACAAAUGGUGGUGUUCUUGGCUGCUCUGGAGGUGUGGGAGGCCUGAAUAUUAGUUUAUGCUCUCUUUCAGCCUCCCCCAGAAUUUUCUCAAUACUGCU
This 813-nucleotide long non-coding RNA is filed under the name Durio zibethinus. RNAcentral's name for it is "long non-coding RNA (DZIB_LNC000610)". The record is from RNAcentral. Lineage: Eukaryota; Viridiplantae; Streptophyta; Magnoliopsida; Malvales; Malvaceae.